AGAUAAAAAUGCAGUACUUAUUCUAAGGGUUUUUUGUUUGUUUUUUUCUUUUUAACACAUCUGUAGAAGUCUCAAGCAAAUGAAUGCAGUUUGAAUUCUUCCUGGUAAUUUUCAUCACCUCUUCUGUUCCAGUGCAAUCAGUUCAGGUGAUCUACAGGCCUUUAUUUUCCCUGCUGAAGAGGUGAAGAACAGAGAAUUUCUCAGAUGGUGCAGUGAAAUACUGUGAUUUGUUGCUAUGCGACUGCAUGCCUGUAUGAGGCCUAUAGUUUUCUUCUGAGGAAGGGGUGGCAUUGAACAUAAGCAUAGUGUUUUACAGGAUUGCAUGUACCUCCCUCAGUUGCCCACAACCCAGCCUCAGCAUCUGUAUGACACCUUAUCAUUUCUAAAGCGUUCUUUACAUUUUUAUCAGAGUGGCAUUUAGGCAAUUUCUUGAAAACWGAAGAACAAAUGUCAUUCUUCCAAAUUUAAAUCAAUAUUCAGGGAAGCAGAGACAGGAGCUUGCCCAAGGCUAUGCAAGUGUCCACACUAAAAAGCUUCAAAUGCAACUAAGCAAUGCAUCUAUAUUAGCUUUACUGAUGAGGGCAUGCAAGUGUUGAGCUUGACUGCACUGUCAUAUCCCUUAACUGCAUAUAUACCUAGCACUCCUCACCUGAACAGAACAGGGCAAACCAAUACAUGAUAAAUUUCCUUAAGCUUCUCUGAUUUUCUUAGGUACAGCGUGCUGUGUGAAUCACAUGGAAUUCACUUAACCCCAUAAAAUCUUUUUUGGCAUACAAUUUCCCAUUAUCAUCACAUUCCAGGGUAAAUUUUUGUAGUUCCUAAAAGGCUUAUUGCUGUUAUGUCACACACUGGGAAUUAAUUUGUCAUACUAUCCCCAAGCACCUUGUAAAAAUGUAGUUACUUAACUCAAAAACUUCACUGUGAUUUGAAAGGAUACUAGGUGGGAGAUUAAUUUUUCUGUAACAAGUGAAUGGAAAAUAAUUGAAGGAAAAAAGAUUGCUACAGAUGCCAAGAUAACAGAAAUAUUAAGAUUUUUACUGCAAAUAUGAUAAUUCCUUUAAACUGAUGAUGGCAAAAAAAAUACAGAACUGUCAUAGAUGAAACUGCUUCCUGAUCUACCCAAGUUUAAUCUGUUCUGGUGUCUUMAGGCUGAGAAAGAUGCUAACUGCUUGCUGUAGAACAGGUUUGUCUYCUUAACUGCAUGUAGUGUAUUACUAAUUUCACAGGUGAAAACAACUUGGCCAGCAUAAACUGCAUUGACCAUAGCAACGCUUUGCUGACACAAUGUACAAAUACUGCUAAAUACAAAAGCCAACCUGGCUUAAAGCUAACUUAAUAUAAACAAACAUUAAAUAAACAAAAGUAUAUUAAUUUUUGAUGCUGGUAU
Molecule: long non-coding RNA, 1387 nt
Filed under: Apteryx owenii (little spotted kiwi)
Lineage: Eukaryota; Metazoa; Chordata; Aves; Apterygiformes; Apterygidae
Description: lncRNA (ENSAOWG00000000014.1)
Source: RNAcentral